This is a long non-coding RNA of Triticum aestivum (bread wheat), 1746 nucleotides long. RefSeq lists it as uncharacterized. The transcript has 2 exons. The record is from RefSeq and is a predicted model, not a curated record. Lineage: Eukaryota; Viridiplantae; Streptophyta; Magnoliopsida; Poales; Poaceae.
GCCACCCGCUGCAUCACCUCUUGCCGCCCACGCGACCAAGAGGUAAUACCAUCCCCGCCACCAUGAUACCCGCCAGAGGGCCAAUCAUGCAGACCGCCAUCCAGGGCCGCUACCCCGGCAUUCAUGUCCAGGACUUCACCAACCGUCCACAUCACAGUGCAUCUGCCACAGAAGGAGGAGAAAAGGAGACACCUUUCGCUCCUAGCCCGGCAUCAGCCACAAAGUAUGGGUGGACGCCUCCACAAUAGGAGGCAUCCACGCCUGGAUCUCCAGCCGUACCCGAUGGACGGGGAAGACCCUACUCUGUGAUGACCGACGGCCGUCGCCGAGCCCGCUCGCACGGCGGCUUGACCGUGGCCGUUGACACCGAUCUUCCCAACAGUGUAGUGGAGCCCCGACCACCACCAACGUCCACCGUACCCGCGAGGAGAGGAACCUCACGACCCACGAGCACCUUCCGGAUCGAUCCCAAGCGUACCUUCCCGAAGCGCGAACUCCGACUCACCCUGGGCACUGCCCAGAUCCGCCGGAGCACGAGCCCCAACUCGCAGCUCUGCUUCGGCUUAGAACCAGGGGAGGAAGCCAGCACCACUGGCAGAGACACGACACUGAACACAAGCGCCACCUACCCAUCGAUCCGCCCCAUCUGCUCCCCGGACGUGGUCACCACAGCCAUAGAGCCGCCAGACCACCCCAGCAAGGAGCACGCCGCCACGCUGUUCCCCUCCAGUAGCCAAAGCCACCAGCGAUAGCCGGCCCAUGUUGCCUCAGCCCGCGCCGCCUGUUGGUAGCCGGCUAGAGCAUCUACCCGAUCCAGAUCUAGGCCGGGACGCCCACAACCGCCACCCGCGCAGGCAUGCCCCACCACGCCCCCAACGAGCAGCCGCCCGCGCCGCCACACCAGGACGCCACCGCCGUGUCGCCCUGGCUGCAUCCGCGCUCUGUCGUUGUCCCACGCCAGCCCACUGCGAGGAAGGGGAAGAGGCCCCGCCACCACCGACGCCGGCCGGGAUUUGCCUGACGGCGUGUUCCGAUGGUGGCGCGGGAGGGGGAGGGGCCGGGGAGGUUGAAGGUGGGCGGCGCAAGGUGGCCUCCCCACUCACGGGAGCGGGCGAGACAAGACGAGUACAUGUGUACCUUUUGUGGUAGCAUAAAUUGCGGAGCCUGCAUAGCCGAUUGAGCCUCCAAUGGAGGACAUGUUGAUGAUGCUGCCUCCUCCGGCAAUAGAAGCGUGUAUGAGAAGAGGGUGUGCGAGCUGGCUGAGAUGGAAGCUCGACUCCAAGUUGGUGGUUAGCAGAUUUGAGUAUUCCUCCACUGUACAUUCAGUAGUGGGCUUGAAGAGCAAUUGCCCUGCAUUGUUCACCUACAUAUAUAGUGACAACAAUUAAUUCAACAAAAACGAUCCUUUACAGAUACCCUACUUAGAGCGAGCUGGGCCUCUCUUAGUUAUAGGCAGGACGAGCAUGUCACAUGGUUAAUUUUUAUGGAUAGAAUUUACUAGAGGCUAAUCUAAUGCAUGCUUCGCUGCGUCGUUCUUCAUUCAUAGGAUCAACUCUUUUUUCUCGAGGAAAAGUUAUUGUGGUUGGUUUUUAUGUCAUGGUUUUGUCUACACUGCCUUAGGUUUUAAUUAUAUUUUUAUUUCAUUUGUCUAUCAUGUUAGGUUGUUGUUGGACAUGGUACUGAAAUAAGAGUGGAGUUGUAAGGUGUGUGAUGGAGUCCUUACAUAUUUCGGCCUUGGAGGUCUUA